GUAAACCCAAGGUUUCCAGGGGAAGGUUCGUCCGCCCUGGGUUAGUCGGGACCUACGCUGAGGCCGAAAGGCGUAGGUGAUGGACAACAGGUUGAUAUUCCUGUACUACCGAUAACCGUUUGAGAGAGGGGAUGACACAGUAGGAUAAGCUAAGCACACUGUUGGUUAUGUGUGCCCAAGCAUUGAGGCAGUCAAAGUAGGCAAAUCCGCUUUGAUAAUGCUGGGAUGUGAUGGGGAGCGAAAUUUAGUAGCGAA
Molecule: ribosomal RNA, 255 nt
Filed under: Clostridioides difficile
Lineage: Bacteria; Bacillati; Bacillota; Clostridia; Peptostreptococcales; Peptostreptococcaceae
Description: partial 23S ribosomal RNA
Rfam family: Bacterial large subunit ribosomal RNA
Source: RNAcentral